Molecule: ribosomal RNA, 571 nt
Filed under: Typhlatya arfeae
Lineage: Eukaryota; Metazoa; Arthropoda; Malacostraca; Decapoda; Atyidae
Description: partial 28S ribosomal RNA
Rfam family: Eukaryotic large subunit ribosomal RNA
Source: RNAcentral
CAAGUACCGNGAGGGAAAGUUGAAAAGAACUUUGAAGAGAGAGUUCAUAAGAAUGUGAAGCCGCUAGGAGCUUAAACGGGUGGAACUGCGAAGGACGAACGAGGGUAUUCACCUCGUCGGGGGGACGGGACCGGGGUGCUCCUAUCGGCCGGAGCCAAGAGCAAACCCAAGCGAGCGCGGGAGCGCCCCUAGCGGUCCGACAGGCAGGUCCCUCCCGGCGGGCGUACUUGUCCCCUCUAGUAGUGAGACGCAGCGAGCCGUCUGGAAGGAGCCAGGAGGGCCGCAUGCACGCACGUCGUGGCGUCCGGACUGGUACCCUCGGUCAGGAAGGGAAACCGGAGCGCGCGCUGCUCGAAGACUGGCUCCGGAGACGGCGGACUCCCAGGGGGCCGCCCACUUCGGUGGGUGGCCCCUCGCUGUGAAGUAGCGGUGAUCCACCUGACCCGUCUUGAAACACGGACCAAGGAGUCUAACCUGUGCGCGAGUCUAAGGGUGGCUGGCGAGACCCGGAGGCGCAAUGAAAGUGAGCGAGCCUGCCUGCGCGCAGGCUCUACGCUGGCCGAUCCCUGGC